UGUUCCAGUCGAGCUGCUGCCACUGAGGU
RNAcentral lists this small RNA (29 nucleotides) under Bombyx mori (domestic silkworm). RNAcentral describes it as "ovarian small RNA-36088". Lineage: Eukaryota; Metazoa; Arthropoda; Insecta; Lepidoptera; Bombycidae. The record is from RNAcentral.